GUCGGAGGGGGGGGGGUAACGACGGACGACAGUGGAGUUCCGCCGCUGAUGUUGAUGUCGGAGAUGAUGGAGACGGCGGCGGCAGUGGGAUUCCACGGCGGAAGCGCCGCCGUUCACGGCGGUGGUUCUUUUUUGUUUCCGACGGAUCUUAUGAUGAUGUUGUUUUGAAUCGGGUUCAGACCACGCUAGCUAACCGGUCAGAUUUUAUUCGGGUCAACAACGGUUUGCUCGGUUCGGUUUCGCAGUCAACUCAGUGCAGAUUGGUCCGGUUCACGUCAGUUAUGUUUCGGGUUCACGUUCGGGUUCCGGUUCAGCAAGUUUAAUUUUUGUUUUGAUUCGAGUGUUACUAGAAAUCAGUCGGGUUUUAGUUCUCGGGAAGAUCUUUCAGCUGCGUUUCGAGUCAAACCCAGUUGACUCGGUCAACCCCCGAGUCGACUCGGGUCAACUCGGUCCAACCCGGUCAACCUAGUUGACUCGGUCAACUCAGUCAACAUGGUCGGCGAAACGACGCCAAAGAAUUGGAGUGCUUUAGUUACACGCUAGCGAGUUCACAUUUUUGGAAGGACAUCACGGAAUCACGUUAAGCUAGCUUUGCACAGGAAUGUCAAG
This 609-nucleotide long non-coding RNA is filed under the name Helianthus annuus (common sunflower). Lineage: Eukaryota; Viridiplantae; Streptophyta; Magnoliopsida; Asterales; Asteraceae. The record is from RNAcentral.